AAGAGAACUGGUGCCGCUACCGAGUCCGGGGACAAGCCGCUGUCGAUGCUCCCCAAAGAUCUUUAGAGAGAAGAGAAGCCGAGGCACAGACAGGAGUGGACCGUCAAUAAGAACCACUAGAAGGGAGAUGACUUUAUACCGGCAGACAGUGGCACACAGACACACCUUAAUGUUGUGGGAUUAAUAAGUGAGAAGAAGGACAGCCCCCCUCUUUCCGCUUCCACACUAAACAUUGUUACAGUGAUUGUUGGAGGAUCGCUGUGUUCCUGAGCUCCUGGCUCCAGAACCUCUCAGAGUGUCUUUGUCUGUGGACGAGCGCGGCGUGUUGGAUGGUAAGGUUUCCAGAGGACUUGCCAUUUGCCCGUGGAAAAUAUGGAUUUGACUUUGCUAUAGCCACGUUUUUUUUUAAAUAGAUAUUUUUCAUUUUUUACUUUGUGCGUGUUGUUGUGUUGAUACUGUUAGAUGUUGGACCCUUAAACGACCGCAUACAUUUUAACACUCAUUGCGCGGAGUAACAACCAUGAACUUUGCUGUCAGUUUGGUACACAUCCUUUUGGUCGCGGUUCUUCACCUAUCCACUGUAAAGACUGCCAGCAUUAACAAGGGAGUGGAGAAGAGUAAAAAUGAGGUCAUUCUUCUCCCAGAUGUCAUCACCAAGAGUAUGUGUCAGCCCAGAGAGGUGCUGGUGGACAUCUUCCAGGAGUAUCCGGAGGACACAGAACACACCUAUGUUCCUUCCUGUAUCGUCCUCAACCGCUGUGGAGGCUGCUGCAACGAUGAAGCUAUGGAGUGUGUUCCCACGGAAACUCACAAUGUCACGUUGCAGGUGAUGCGGUUUAGACCAAUGGUAAUGCAGCACACUAUUCACUUAAGUUUCACAGAGCAUCAAAAGUGUGAUUGCAGACUAAAGCCAGAUGUUCAAGCAAAGAAACAAUAGUAAGUAGGUGUUGUCUUUUUUCUAUGUUGGUCGAUGGGGCUCUGGCUCCCACUACUAAUCAGAGUGGUGGGACGACUAUAAAGGCGCUAUGUGAAAGUUUGAUGGCUUGUUGUUCUGGAGCAGAGCGGGAUGUUGAGAUGCACUUAGCUUCAGCUCUACAUAAUGAAGAGUGUUGAGACAUCCAUGACAGGAUGCUUUUCCUACCAAAACAAUACUCAAAAAUGCUUUUAUUUCUUUUAUUGCAAAACUCCAAAGGACUCAAAUGACAUGAAGUCUAAACAUGGGGGAGAACUCAAACAACCCCCUUAGAGUCUAAUGGCAAAUCUGGUCAAAGAAUAAGAAAAUAAGAUUUAGAAGACAAUUUGAGCGAACACUGGAUUCCAGUGCUCAAUGCUACGGACACGUUGUGGUCACUAAAUGAAAAAGAACUUGCUUGUGCACAGACUUGCAAAGGAUAUAUUUCAGUUUGUGGCCCGUUAAAUUUAGUUCAACAGAGAGUGAGCAUGCUCGGUGCUGCCGCAGCGGAGGCAGUCCUGUUUGCUGUAGAUGGUGGAGGUAGCGCGUCGGGCCUUCAGGUCCUAUCUUUACACUUUGAGCGUGCUCUUUUUAUGGCACCGGGUUUAGUACUUUAUGGUGCGGCCAUAACAUCGUAAGUGACCACCCACUGCUGUCUGCGCUCUGACUCCAGUUGCACAAACCUGACCCUCCGCUACUUCCAGUCUAAUUAUAGCAACAGGUGUCAUGCAGUUAACCUUUUUUACUUUUAGUGGUGUAAAUAGAGGCUGAGCUCGGAGACGAGCCACGGUGUCUUCCUUGACUAAGGGAACUCGCUCACUGUCACAGUUGACAUAGGGCUGUGUGUGUUUGACAUGUGCAUGCAUUUGGUUAGUGUGUGUCUCCUCAGCAGUAGGUCAGCUGGUCUAACUUAAAAGGGUACAGGUUAAAUCCUGACGGCAUGGUGGAGGAGAGAUGGGAUCAUGUGAGCUAAUGAUGCUGAGCUAAAUUGAGCUUGUUGAUGUCUACCUGUCUUUGUGCACGUAGGUCACUCUGUGGCAAAGGAGUGUGAAACAUACACUCUGAUACAGUUGGGCAGACCAGAUGUUGUUGGUUGACUACUUCCUGUUUGGCUUAAUCAGCGAUUGAUUGAACCCUGCAUCUGCUCAGGUGUCUCCUCUCUUUCUCCUGCCUCCUCUGUUUGCUGUGACAGCAGCAUUGUUGAUGCCUGGCCCAAUGCGGCAGUAUGUGGCGUCAGCAUGAUGUGAUAAACCGAGGAGAUGAGACCGGCAACACUUCUUUCUUGGCACAGCACUUUGAAACCUGAGGAUGCAUUCCCUGAAAGGACACAAAAUGACAAAGCAAGACAGGACAUUCUUGACACAGAUCUUUCCACAGACUGUUUUCGCCUUAAAAUAUUAAUAUAUAUAUAUAUAUAUAUAUGUACAUAUACUAAAAGUACAUCAACAAUGUGUAUUGCUGCUACAUAUAAAGACACUAUUUAAAGAGAAACGAAUGCGCCACUGGCGUGUGAACGGGAAAUGUUUCGGUAGCCUCCUGCUCAUGGAAAGUUCUUUUUUGUAACACUUCACUGGAUGCUAGUCUGCUGUGGAUAUGCAUAUCUUAAAUAUAUAUAUUAGUAACAAAAACUGGUGAGCACAACUUCAACGGUGCAGCAGCAGACCAACUCACCUCCGAACUCUGACAGAAGAGACUAGUGGAGACAGAGGGAGGACGAGGAGGCGGAGGUGAAGGAACUGCUGUGCUUGAUCCGAACGGCAGGUCCAAAUACUGUUUCCGCUGUGACAUGAAGUUUUUUUCCCCAUUGUAUGGACUAAUUGGUGUAAUAAGACACCUAACAAGUUUCCCGAAUUGACUGUGGAUGCAGGUUAUAUGCCGAGGUGACGGAUAAUGUGAAGAUGAUCUUCUCUCGUGGAAGGGUUACGUGAUGAUGGCAAGAACUGAACUACCUAAUGGUUACGUUUUAGCAAGUUAAACGAUUUUAGUGAAUGUUAAAAUUAGAUUAGGGUUGGGCCUAUGUGUGGGCAAGUGACCAAAAUUAAUAUUGGUUUUAAGGUUGAAGUUUCCAUCAGCAUUAGGGGUAAGAAACCAAGACCUGUUCCUGGUCCUGCCUCCCUCAUGUAACCCCUCCCUCAUGGGAAAACAGACUUAUCUCUUUUUGUGCACAGACUUUAUUUUUGCAUUUUGAGCUAUUGUGUUCCUUUAACAAAAUCUCUUGAGACCAGACUGUCUAAAGGGCUAUUACUGUAGGUAUAUGCGGAGACAAGAAGUGACUAGAAAUGCUGAUCAUAGAUCAGAUCAGCACCUCAGUGUAGAAAUCCACAACCUUCCAGUUCCCUUAUUUAAUAUCUUUGUGUGUGUUCCAAAGAUAUAGUCAGGCAUCCACAACAGCUUAGUUGAUCAUAAGUGAUCUGUUUAUACUUACUAGAUAUCCCUCUGUCUAGUACUCUACAUAUCAUUUAUAGAAUAUGCUCAGUAUUCUGAUAUUUAUAUGCAGUGGUAAGGUCAUUUUUUUGAACUGUUUCAAUCUGUCUGGAGAUUCAAUGGAGAACACGUAUGACUGUAAACUCCUUUUUUUGUGGGAAAAAGGACUGCAAGACAAUGCUUUGACAUUCCUGAUUUAAACUGAAGCUGUGUUUCUCACAAGCUAGAGGGGGAUUAUGGUGGGCCGGUUGACCGAUAGAAACCCCAACAGCCAACAUGUGCAUGAAUGAUGCGCCAACACAGGUGUUUUUCAUUUUGAACUGGGGCGAGGGACAUAUGGUUUUGCACUUGUUCGCCCAAAGGCAUGUCAUAUGGAGGACUGAAGGAGUCUCGUUGCUGCUGCUCAACUCAGACCUAAUAUAGUGAAGACUGUCCAAUCAGACUGAGGCCUCUAGUCUGACAGUGGUGAAAUGGCACAGUUUUCUCUCUGACUCUAACAUUACCUCCUCAUUCCCAAGUAUUACACAUGUGUGGUUCAGUAAGAUACAGCCACUUGCCACAAAUCAAACAUUUACUUUGAUGCUAAACUGUUACCAUAUGAGAAAAAUACCUUACUCAUUGAUGAGCCAUUAUAGAGACAAAAUGGGAUAUAUUCAGUAAAAUUGCAAGGGAUACAAUUUUAGUAAUUAAUAGGUAUGUGCUACUGAAUAUAAUGUUUAUAAAAUAUAAUAUUUUAAAUAUGAGCUCACAUCAGCUGAUCAUGUGAUACAGUUUGUCUGCAGGCUGCUAAAUCUCAACAUGAGAAAAAAUAAUUCAGUUCAUUUAUCUCACGGAGCCUGGCUGGUGUUGAGGUACUCUGGUGCAAGAAUUAGUCAUUUAUGCCCUUGAAAUAAUAACUUGUACUAAAACCGUAAACACGUAUAUACAUGUACUUCAGAAAUCCAUCCUUUCAUUGUCCACUGUUUAUUUCAGCUGUGCUGAAUCACCUAAUGUAAACUGUUUUUCACAAGGAAUGUUGACGGAUGAAGAUACAUGGAAUGAUCAUUUAUUUGAAGUAAAAUAUGACUAAUUUGUUCACACAAAUUAUUAUAGUAUUAAAGGUAUGAAUUUCUAAAUAUACUACCUGUGAGACUCUGUACAAUAUUGUCAGGAAUGGUCAGAAGACGGGUCCAGACUCGAAGUCAGUGAUUCUGACUUUUUCCACAGUAUAGUGACACAUUUUGUUUCAUGAAUCCUACCUGUGUUUCUAGAAGUGCCAGCUGUACACUGCUGUUCAUGUGAACUGACCUUCUGUGCUGCCACCCUCAAACUUGAGGCCUGAGAGUGUGUUCACUGAAACAGGGUGCUGGCUCUGUGCCCAUGCCUCUCCAGUCCUCUGAUGAUGACAACAUUCUAAUUGUAUUUAAAUGACACACUUUGUCUUGAGUUUGUACAGCCACAUUUUUAGUAUAUUUUCACAUUACUAUAUUUAUUGGUGCUGUAAAAUAUUUUACAAUAUUAAUACUCUUUUUGUUGUUUCUAGUGUAUGUAU
Molecule: RNA transcript, 4907 nt
Organism: Anarrhichthys ocellatus (wolf-eel)
Lineage: Eukaryota; Metazoa; Chordata; Actinopteri; Perciformes; Anarhichadidae
Gene name: vascular endothelial growth factor A-A-like
Exons: 6
Source: RefSeq, a predicted model, not a curated record